Long non-coding RNA from Dendroctonus ponderosae (mountain pine beetle), 474 nucleotides. RefSeq lists it as uncharacterized. Lineage: Eukaryota; Metazoa; Arthropoda; Insecta; Coleoptera; Curculionidae. The record is from RefSeq and is a predicted model, not a curated record. The transcript is spliced from 3 exons.
UUUCAAUAAGCUCUGUAAUCAUAUUUAUAUGACAUUGUCAGAAAACGUCCUCAAAAUGCCAUAAAAUUUGCAAAAUCUCUGAGGAAUAUGAAAUCGGAAGUUGUGCGAGUCGUCCAAGUUUGCGCCAUUGUUUUCUUGGUUAUCACUGCUAUCAAAAUGAUUCGUUAACAAUUUAAGUCAGAGAAAGGAUAUGAAAUUCAUAGUGACCACAAGAAGAAAAUUAUAAAAACUAUUUCCAAGGAAAUACAUACAAUUUGGGCUGGAAAUUAAAUACAUUUGAGCCUGCAAUAAUUAAAGUGGGAAUUGUGCUUCUUUGGACAGUGGCAGUUACAAAGAUCAUCUCAGACUGUUAGUACUAAUCUAACAUAACCAAUAAAGCACCAAAAAGGUUUCAUUUAUUUGCUAAAUUAUUGUUUUAGUGGUUUAAUGUAUUGAAUAAAAAUGUGGCAUAAACCUUGGAAAUGCAAACAAUUA